UACGUAGGGACCAAGCGUUGUUCGGAUUUACUGGGCGUAAAGGGCGCGUAGGCGGCAGAUCAAGUCAGCUGUGAAAUCUCCGAGCUUAACUCGGAACGGUCAGCUGAUACUGUUUUGCUAGAGUACAGACGGGGCAAUCGGAAUUCUUGGUGUAGCGGUGAAAUGCGUAGAUAUCAAGAGGAACACCUGAGGCGAAGGCGGGUUGCUGGGCUGAUACUGACGCUGAGGCGCGAAAGCUAGGGUAGCAAACGGG
This 253-nucleotide ribosomal RNA is filed under the name uncultured bacterium. RNAcentral's name for it is "partial 16S ribosomal RNA". It matches the Rfam family "Bacterial small subunit ribosomal RNA", at positions 524 to 776 of the family's 1533-position model. The record is from RNAcentral.